Molecule: ribosomal RNA, 392 nt
Filed under: uncultured bacterium
Lineage: Bacteria
Description: partial 16S ribosomal RNA
Rfam family: Bacterial small subunit ribosomal RNA
Source: RNAcentral
AUACGUAUGUCGCCAGCGUUAUCCGGAUUUAUUGGGCGUAAAGCGCGUCUAGGCGGCUUAGUAAGUCUGAUGUGAAAAUGCGGGGCUCAACCCCGUAUUGCGUUGGAAACUGUUAAACUAGAGUACUGGAGAGGUAGGCGGAACUACAAGCGUAGAGGUGAAAUUCGUAGAUAUUUGUAGGAAUGCGGAUGGGGAAGCAAGCCUACUGGACAGAUACUGACGCUAAAGCGCGAAAGCGUGGGUAGCAAACAGGAUUAGAUACCCUGGUAGUCCACGCCGUAAACGAUGAUUACUAGGUGUUGGGGGUCGAACCUCAGCGCCCAAGCUAACGCGAUAAGUAAUCCGCCUGGGGAGUACGUACGCAAGUAUGAAACUCAAAGGAAUUGGCGGGG